RNAcentral lists this long non-coding RNA (381 nucleotides) under Eutrema salsugineum. Its description in RNAcentral is "long non-coding RNA (ESAL_LNC001296)". Lineage: Eukaryota; Viridiplantae; Streptophyta; Magnoliopsida; Brassicales; Brassicaceae. The record is from RNAcentral.
AAAGCUUGUAGAGAAGAAGCUUCUAAGGAAAAGAAAGCAGCCGCUAGUGCUGCUGAUGCUGGAGAUGCUGGUCUGCCUCCACCUCAGAAACGUUAUGGUGGGAACAGAUACCACUUUGAUGAUUACAACUGGGAGGAACCAGGCACUUCAGGGUCUAGAGCUCAGCAAAAGAUUGGUGUCCUUCAGCAAUGGUGCAAGUACCAGGACAAAACGAUACACAAGAUGGCCAAGUGUAUCAAGGAGAUUAAGAAAAGGAUCAAGAGGCUUGAGAACCCUUGCAAAGAUGGAUCUCCAACACCGGUUUCACCAAGGCACAGAGAAGAGGUAGGAGAGAGCUCUACCAAUUGCAUAGCACUGGUCCCAUAUGGCACAGCAUGGGUG